This 1158-nucleotide ribosomal RNA is filed under the name Triticum aestivum (bread wheat). RNAcentral's name for it is "partial small subunit ribosomal RNA". The record is from RNAcentral. Lineage: Eukaryota; Viridiplantae; Streptophyta; Magnoliopsida; Poales; Poaceae.
AUGCUCCGCCUACACAAGUGCAUCGUCGCCCAGCUGCUCCCUCAUGCCUCCGCCAUCUCCCCGCUCCACCGCCUCCUCUCCGCAGCCGCGACGCCUGCCCGCCGCAUUUCUCCAAACCCUAGCUUCGUCGUCGACGACUACCUCGUCUCCGCCUGCGGCUUGACCCGAGCCCAGGCCCUCAAGGCCUCCCCCAAGCUCUCCCACCUCAAGUCCCCCGCCAAGCCCGACGCCGUCCUCGCCUUCCUCGCCGGCCUCGGCCUCUCCGCCGCCGACGUCGCCACCGCCGUCGCCAAGGACCCGCUGUUACUCCGCGCCAAAGUGGAGGGAACCCUGGCCCCCGUCGUCGACGGGCUCACCGGCCUCGGCCUCUCGCGCUCUGAGGUCGCGCGCAUCGCCGUGCUCGUCCCCGGCAAAUUCCGCUGCAGAUCCAUCGUCUCCGCUGUACACUACUACCUGAAUCUCUUCGGGUCCAUGGACAACUUGCUUCGGUUGCUCAAACGCGGCUUCUGGCUACAAGGUUCUGACGUCGAGAGGGUGGUCAAGCCCAACGUCGCGUUCCUCCAGGAGUGCGGGCUACAUGAUUGCGACAUUGCCAAGCUGUGCAUCCGUGUGCCAAUGAUCCUCACAAUCAACCAGCAGCGCCUCCGGGCAAUGGUGGCAUGCGCCAAAGCUCUCUGUGUGCCACAUGGCUCUGGGAUGUUACGAAAAGCGUUGCAGGCUGUCGGAUUCUGUGACGAGGAGAAGAUCACCGCCAAGGUGGAAUACCUGAAGAAGACAUUUAGGUGGUCGGAUACUGAGGUGGGCAUUGCUUUGCCCAAGAAUCCGAUGGUGCUGACCUAUUCCAAGGACAGGCUGCAGCGUGUCUCAGAGUUCCUCAUAUCCGAGGUGGGGUUGGAACCAGGGUACAUUGCUCAUCGGCCGGCGCUUCUCGCUUACAGCCUGGAUGGUCGGCUCAGGCCCCGGUACUAUGUUGUGAAGUUUCUCAAGGAAAACAGAUUGCUACAUGGCGACCGGGACUACUAUUCUGCAGUUGCGGUGACUCCGAAGGUAUUCAUGGAGAAGUUCAUAUGCCCACACAAGGAAGCUGCACCACACCUUGCUGAAGAUUAUGCAGCAGCAUGCAGAGGGGAGGUGCCGGCUAGAUUCAGAUUUACAUGA